GACAGCAGUAGCCGCGGGAAUACGUAGGUGGCAAGCGUUGUCCGGAAUUAUUGGGCGUAAAGGGCUCGCAGGCGGUUUCUUAAGUCUGAUGUGAAAGCCCCCGGCUCAACCGGGGAGGGUCAUUGGAAACUGGGAAACUUGAGUGCAGAAGAGGAGAGUGGAAUUCCACGUGUAGCGGUGAAAUGCGUAGAGAUGUGGAGGAACACCAGUGGCGAAGGCGACUCUCUGGUCUGUAACUGACGCUGAGGAGCGAAAGCGUGGGGAGCGAACAGGAUUAGAGACCCGAGUAGUCCCUGUCUCUUAUAC
This 306-nucleotide ribosomal RNA is filed under the name uncultured bacterium. RNAcentral describes it as "partial 16S ribosomal RNA". It matches the Rfam family "Bacterial small subunit ribosomal RNA", at positions 507 to 807 of the family's 1533-position model. The record is from RNAcentral.